AAACAUCUACAGAGCUAUAGUCCCUUAUUGCUCCAGGGCAGAAGGAGGAAGUUCUGGAAUGGAUGCCUUUAAGCCCGGUUGGGUGUGAGACGGGAUGGAGACGGUGAGACGUGACGUGAGGGCUGCAGCGGUGACCUGGAAGGAGGGACUGGAACGCAGUGCAGACUCAGAGGUCUGGUCACCAGCUAGCAAGGUCAAGGACCAUGGAGAGACUCUUCAACCUCCACGGUAUAUGUACUUAGCUAACCCACAUGGGAAAGAUAUUGAAUCAUUUAUUUAUUUAUGCGUUCUACCUGGAAUUUGUCAAUAAUACACAGCAAAUACACCGAGAAGAUUCAUAGAAGAUUCAUAGAAGAUUCUAGUAAUAUCUGAC
Oncorhynchus tshawytscha (Chinook salmon) is the source of this 373-nucleotide long non-coding RNA. Lineage: Eukaryota; Metazoa; Chordata; Actinopteri; Salmoniformes; Salmonidae. The record is from Ensembl.